Molecule: long non-coding RNA, 2947 nt
Filed under: Sarcophilus harrisii (Tasmanian devil)
Lineage: Eukaryota; Metazoa; Chordata; Mammalia; Dasyuromorphia; Dasyuridae
Description: lncRNA (ENSSHAG00000027092.1)
Source: RNAcentral
CUCAUAAAAGACAAUUCUCCUACAAUUUCACCCACCAUUUACUCUGAAAGAAAUACCCAAUUUGGCUAGAGAGGUGGUUUUUAAAGAUAACUAGGAAGAUGCAUGGGAAAGUACAUCGUCAGCUAAUUAGCUACUGGAUUCUGUAACUGUGAUAGUGCCCAGUUGACACAGAAUGACUUUGGAUGAUGUGUGACUGGGGGUUCUCAUCACCCAAGAUUGUAAGACUAUGGAGUUUAUAGAUACUAAAUCAGGCAAAAGCUGGAACUAUGAAGAAAAACCAUCCCAGACAAUCCUUCGGAAUAAGGAUAAAUUAUCUACUAAAGGGAAAAAAGUACAUUCUUGUAAAACUAUUAAAAGGAAAAAAAAAUCUUUGAUGAAAAGUGAAAAAAGGCUGGUAUCUGUACCUAAAAUUCCAGUUACUCAACUGCUCUCUCUUAUUCCUGGACAAAAAGUGGCUGAGAGUGCUCCAGCUAAGCCUCAUAUUGAAGUAUGGAUUCUUCCCCUCAGAAAGGACCCUCAAGAAUUGACAAGAAUCAAAUCAAGGGAAACUCAAGGAAGUGAAGAUGACCAAACAGAAAUUAUCAGUUGGCAUGCAGAGGAUGAUGCUGAAAAGAAAAUUUCUUUGCCUGACCUGUUUCCAAGCCAAGUUAAUCUAAUUAAUGAGGAAAUAGUUGGUGAGUCUCAAGGCCAAAGAAAGGCAGAUUUGGAAAGGCAAGAUAUUCAGCAUGGUACAAUUACCAAAACAAUGGGUGAGUUUGAAGGCCAAAGCCUUUUGCCAGAGUGGAAAGAUCAAGAUAGUCAACCUAGUACAACUAGUACCAAGAAAAUGGGUGAGUUUGAAGGCCAAAGUCUUUUGCCAGAGUGGAAAGAUCAAGAUAGUCAACCUAGCACAACUAGUACCAAGAAAAUGGGUGAGUUUGAAGGCCAAAGCCUUUUGCCAGAGUGGAAAGAUCAAGAUAGUCAACCUAGCACAAGUAGUACUGAUAAAAAAGAACAAGAAGAACCUUCAGGAAUUUCAGAUGUGAUUCCCUCAAUUACAAGUCUAAUUAAACAAUUAGACUUAGACAGAGUAGUUGAGAUAAGCAUAGCUGAUUUAUUAAAGGACACAAAAGAAGUCAGUUUUACUCCAGCACGGGCAGAUGUUUCAACAAAAACUGUGCCUUUCUCAAAGCUUUUUCAACAAAAUAAAAUAUCUGGUUUACUAAAGGACAAAAAAGACGGUGCAAAAUUAACACAGAUGGAUGUGUCCCAAGAGCCUUUUCCACCAAGAAAGAAAUUUGGUUCCUUCUCAGCGGCUCACAAGCAUGAUCAGAUGUCCUCAAUAAAUCCCACCAAAUAAAAUUCUCCUUCAUCCUUUCCCUCGGUCUGGCUAAUAUGCUAUGCCUCUUCUGCUCUACUCUAUCUUAAAUUAUUUUGGCAGUUGUGUGAGCAAUGAAUUAGAAGACAAAUAGACUGGAAGAAAGGAUGAUAAUCAGAUGGAUAGGCUAGGAAAGAUAUGACUGGGGCUUGAAUUAGGGUUUUGGUCAUAUAAGUGGAGAGAAGGAGCAGUUAGUGCAAUAGAUAAAAUACCAGGCCUAGAGUCAAGAACACCUGAGUUCAAAUCUGAAAUCAGAUACUUCCUAGCUGUGUGACCCUGGGCAAGUCACUUCACCCUGUUUGCCUCAGUUUCUUCAUCUGAAAAAUAAACUGGAGAAGGAAAUGGCAAACCAGUCAAGGAACUCUGCCAAGAAAACCCCAAAUGGAAUCAUGAAGAGACAGAUAUGACUGAAAGAAGUGCACAACAAAAUGCAGAGAAGAUAAUGCAAGAGAUGAUAUGGAGCUAGAACAUCAGCUGGUACUGGAAUGGGGACUAUGGGAGAGUUAGGUAUUGAGAGAAAUUCCCUGGACUUAGAACUUGGAUCACUUAAAGGAUGAAGGUGUUCUCAGCAGAAAUAGUAAAUUUAGAAGUCAGCUCUAGCAGGGAAGCUAGAGAUUCUGUCUUUGAUUGAUCUUGAGAUGCCAGUGGGCUCUCCAGGGAGAGAUGUCCAGCAGGCAGCAAUGAAGCCAGAAUGGAACUCAGAAGAGACCAUUUGUCUAGAUAUAUAGAUUUGGAAAAUUCUCUGGAGAGAGGAGAUAUGUGAAAUGCUUUAGUACUUUGCUUGGCACACAGUAGGCACAAUAUAAAUGAUAUGAGUGAGUGUGUCUGUGUGUGUGUGUGAGAGAGAGAAAGAGAGGGGAGGCGGGGGAGAGACAGAGAGAGGAGAAAUGAAUUUUCAGGUUCUUUCAUUUCCUGUUUCACCCCAACUUCUGUGCUGCUUAGGAUAACUCCUUGCAAAAUUGGAAAAAGAGGUAGACUUGGACAUCCAGCCCCUCUUAGUAAAGUGAUAAUCAGACAUCACUUAGAAGUGGGAUAUCCAUUUAAGCUAACUUAUUCACUACAAUAGAAGAACUUCAAAGGGAAUAGGACGAGUGGAAGAUGGCAAGGAAUGAGUGUAUUAAAAGGGCAUUACAGGAUACACUGAAAGACGGAAGGGAAUAUACAAGCAGAGCAAAAAAGAGCCCUUCAUUUCCAUUUCAUAAGAAAGCUACAGAGCAAGUUUUUCCAAAGGAAAAAAAACAAGCUUCCUCUUUGAAGUGCUUCAUUAUAAAGCAGCAAGUGAAAACACCUCAGCUGGACAGAAAGAACUGCCUCAGGGACAGGCAUUUUCCUCCAUUAAUUCUUGACAGAAAAGGGAAGUGAAUUACCAUCCAAAUUACAGUCAGCCAGAGAUAUUUUACUCCCGUGAACAAUUCCUUCAGUAGAAAAAAGGAGAUAUAUUCAGGAUCACAUUUUAUUUCCAGGAAAAAACUUCAUGCCACAAAAGACAAUGCUACAAUUGAGAAAAUAUUUAAAUGAUGUCAUUCUUCUAUGUAGUUUACGUCAUCAGAUUUGUUGUACUUUGAGGAAGUAUAAAAUAUUAAAAUCUAU